RNAcentral lists this ribosomal RNA (253 nucleotides) under uncultured bacterium. Its description in RNAcentral is "partial 16S ribosomal RNA". It matches the Rfam family "Bacterial small subunit ribosomal RNA", at positions 524 to 776 of the family's 1533-position model. The record is from RNAcentral.
UACGGGGGGGGCAAGCGUUGUUCGGAAUUACUGGGCGUAAAGGGCGCGUAGGCGGCUCGUUUAGUCGGGUGUGAAAUCCCAAGGCUCAACCUUGGAACUGCAUUCGAUACUGGCGGGCUAGAGACCGGAAGAGGUGGGUGGAAUACCCAGUGUAGAGGUGAAAUUCGUAGAUAUUGGGUGGAACACCGGUGGCGAAGGCGGCACACUGGUCCGGUUCUGACGCUGAGGCGCGAAAGCGUGGGGAGCAAACAGG